UUCCGGUUGAUCCUGCCGGACCUGACUGCUAUCGGAUUGAUACUAAGCCAUGCGAGUCAUUGUAGCAAUACAAGGCAUACGGCUCAGUAACGCGUAGUCAACCUAACCUAUGGACGGGAAUAACCUCGGGAAACUGAGAAUAAUGCCCGAUAGAACAUUAUGCCUGGAAUGGCUUAUGUUCCAAAUGAUUUAUCGCCGUAGGAUGGGACUGCGGCCUAUCAGUUUGUUGGUGAGGUAAUGGCCCACCAAGACUAUUACAGGUACGGGCUCUGAGAGGAGUAGCCCGGAGAUGGGUACUGAGACACGGACCCAGGCCCUAUGGGGCGCAGCAGGCGAGAAAACUUUGCAAUGUGCGAAAGCACGACAAGGUUAAUCCGAGUGAUUUGUGCUAAACGAAUCUUUUGUUAGUCCUAGAACCACUAACGAAUAAGGGGUGGGCAAGUUCUGGUGUCAGCCGCCGCGGUAAAACCAGCACCUCAAGUGGUCAGGAUGAUUAUUGGGCCUAAAGCAUCCGUAGCCGGCUCUGUAAGUUUUCGGUUAAAUCUGUACGCUUAACGUACAGGCUGCCGGGAAUACUGCAGAGCUAGGGAGUGGGAGAGGUAGACGGUACUCGGUAGGAAGUGGUAAAAUGCUUUGAUCUAUCGAUGACCACCUGUGGCGAAGGCGGUCUACCAGAACACGUCCGACGGUGAGGGAUGAAAGCUGGGGGAGCAAACCGGAUUAGAUACCCGGGUAGUCCCAGCUGUAAACUAUGCAAACUCAGUGAUGCAUUGGCUUGUGGCCAAUGCAGUGCUGCAGGGAAGCCGUUAAGUUUGCCGCCUGGGAAGUACGUACGCAAGUAUGAAACUUAAAGGAAUUGGCGGGGGAGCACCACAAGGGGUGAAGCCUGCGGUUCAAUUGGAGUCAACGCCGGG
Molecule: ribosomal RNA, 914 nt
Filed under: uncultured marine archaeon
Lineage: Archaea
Description: bacterial SSU rRNA
Rfam family: Archaeal small subunit ribosomal RNA
Source: RNAcentral